UUUGUUCUCAAAUUCAAAUUUAUUACCACAGAGAUAGAUACAAAGUCACCAUUAUAGGCUCACUGUGUGUUUUACAUGAUCUAAAAGUGUGUUUGCAUUUCUUGGGCCAAAAACAGGUUUAUAUUUGAGUAAACACAAGAUUUUUACAUCAUAAAAAUGAUUUUUGUAAUGUGUCACGAAGAUUUCCAGGUGGAAUGUGUUUCAUGGAGAAGUCUUCUAGUCAGAGUCACUGCUGCAGGAGCUGCUGGAGGACUGCAGGAGGGAUAAACACAAGAUAUUUUAAAUACUCUGAAAGUAUCUAGCACACUGAUUUAAUCUCAGUUUUAUAUCCUCCAUUCUGAGUUACUGUAAAAGUGAUGGCAUCAGAUCAUCAAGGUUGUUGGCUCAGUGUGACCAACUGUGACAAAUUCAGACAAGACUGAGCAAGUUAUAAAAACAUCAGUGUUGAAAGUCGAUACUUGGUGAGUUACACUUGGAUAAAAUGCUUCACUGAAAAUCGGUUUUCAGGAAGGAUUGCGCAAACUUGCUAGUGUCAUCAUACCUCACCUCUGUUUGAACUGCUAUUCAGUAGUGCAGUGCUGCACUCCUGAAUUCUACCCUGUUCGUAGCCUUUCCCUUCCCAAAUGUUCACAGCUGGGACACUGGCUUUAAUAACCUUUACUCUAAAGCACUAGUCAUGAAAACCAAAACAAUAAGUCUUAGGUUGUGUGGAGCUCCGGGAAGCCGCAGAUUUGUGUCAAAAUCUGUGUGUGAUCAUGAAUUUGAGCAAACCUAUUAAGUUACUCAUAGGUUUGACACUGGUAUUAUAAAUGAAGACACAUGCAGCUACAGGGACUCUGCCCGAGGUCUCUUCCCCUUAGAACAAAACUUACUCUCAUCAAGUGCUGCUCAUAGGUGAUCUUUGGACUGUCUUUUGGUUCUCCCUCUAAUAUUGUUGAGUAUUUUUUAUUACAGAAACUAAAGAAAAUAUAAAGCAGAUCUAAUAGCAUAGCAAAAUGUACAUUGUUGCAUAAAUAAUCAUAUCUUACCCCAUGACACUUUUUUCCUUUCUUGUGGCAAUGACCAUGCUUGUGGCCAUGUUUAUGCUUGUGGUGGUGACCAUGAUGUCCAUGGCCAUGCCCGUGACCAUGAUGUCCAUGGCCAUGCCCGUGACCAUGAUGUCCAUGGUCAUGACCGUGGUGUCCAUGACCGUGGUGUCCAUGACCGUGGCCAUGACCAUGCCCAUCACCAUGUCCAUGAGUAGAUCCGCAGCCGGGUCCUACCACGUGGCCAUGACCUCCAGAUUCUCCACAAGGUGAGGUCACUGGACAGCAUCCAAAUGGACCAGGCUGAGGUGGACAUGAAGGUGGUGGGGCAGGGCCUGGUGGACAUCCUCCUGGCACUGGAUGAGGUUGACAUCCUCC
Long non-coding RNA from Astatotilapia calliptera (eastern happy), 1403 nucleotides. Lineage: Eukaryota; Metazoa; Chordata; Actinopteri; Cichliformes; Cichlidae. The record is from Ensembl.